UACGAGUUGUGCAAACGUUAUUCGGAAUCACUGGGCUUAAAGGGUGCGUAGGCGGGCAGGCAGGUCAGAUGUGAAAUCCCACGGCUCAACCGUGGAAUUGCGUUUGAAACCGCUUGUCUUGAGGGGGUCAGAGGAGAGCGGAACUGAUGGUGGAGCGGUGAAAUGCGUUGAUAUCAUCAGGAACACCGGUGGCGAAAGCGGCUCUCUGGGACCUUUCUGACGCUGAGGCACGAAAGCCAGGGGAGCGAACGGG
RNAcentral lists this ribosomal RNA (253 nucleotides) under uncultured bacterium. RNAcentral describes it as "partial 16S ribosomal RNA". It matches the Rfam family "Bacterial small subunit ribosomal RNA", at positions 524 to 776 of the family's 1533-position model. The record is from RNAcentral.